GCGGUGAAGUCAGACCGGAAGGACUGGUGGAGCGCUUAGAAGUGAGAAUGCCGGUAUGAGUAGCGAAAGAAGGGUGAGAAUCCCUUCCACCGAAUAUCUAAGGUUUCCUGAGGAAGGCUCGUCCGCUCAGGGUUAGUCGGGACCUAAGCCGAGGCCGAUAGGCGUAGGCGAUGGACAACAGGUAGAGAUUCCUGUACCAGUGCUAAUUGUUUAACCGAUGGGGUGACACAGAAGGAUAGGGAAUCGCACGAAUGGAAAUGUGCGUCCAAGCAGUGAGUGUGAGAAGUAGGCAAAUCCGCUUCUCGCGAAGCAUGAGCUGUGAUGGGGAAGGAAAUUAAGUACGGAAGUUCCUGAUUUCACGCUGUCAAGAAAAGCCUCUAGGAAGAGUAGUACUGCCCGUACCGCAAACCGACACAGGUAGAUGAGGAGAGAAUCCUAAGGUGAGCGAGAGAACUCUCGUUAAGGAACUCGGCAAAAUGACCCCGUAACUUCGGGAGAAGGGGUGCUCUAUUAGGGUGCAAGCCCGAGAGAGCCGCAGUGAAUAGGCCCAGGCGACUGUUUAGCAAAAACACAGGUCUCUGCAAAACCGUAAGGUGACGUAUAGGGGCUGACGCCUGCCCGGUGCUGGAAGGUUAAGAGGAGUGCUUAGCUUCGGCGAAGGUACGAAUUGAAGCCCCAGUAAACGGCGGCCGUAACUAUAACGGUCCUAAGGUAGCGAAAUUCCUUGUCGGGUAAGUUCCGACCCGCACGAAAGGCGCAACGAUCUGGGCACUGUCUCAACGAGAGACUCGGUGAAAUUAUAGUACCUGUGAAGAUGCAGGUUACCCGCGACAGGACGGAAAGACCCCGUGGAGCUUUACUGCAACCUGAUAUGGAAUGUUUGUACCGCUUGUACAGGAUAGGUAGGAGCCGAAGAGACGUGUGCGCUAGCAUACGAGGAGGCAAUGGUGGGAUACUACCCUG
This 963-nucleotide ribosomal RNA is filed under the name Listeria monocytogenes. RNAcentral describes it as "partial 23S ribosomal RNA". It matches the Rfam family "Bacterial large subunit ribosomal RNA", at positions 1247 to 2207 of the family's 2925-position model. The record is from RNAcentral. Lineage: Bacteria; Bacillati; Bacillota; Bacilli; Caryophanales; Listeriaceae.